This 23-nucleotide small nuclear RNA is filed under the name Arabidopsis thaliana (thale cress). RNAcentral's name for it is "snRNA_10540". Lineage: Eukaryota; Viridiplantae; Streptophyta; Magnoliopsida; Brassicales; Brassicaceae. The record is from RNAcentral.
UCACCCGAAUAUAUAUUAAUUUU